UGAGGUGGCCGGUGGAGGAGACCGGGAGGAACUCCGUCACCCCUUCGACGGCUCCGAGGACGACGGCCUGACCG
This 74-nucleotide transfer RNA is filed under the name Streptomyces mutabilis. The record is from RNAcentral. Lineage: Bacteria; Bacillati; Actinomycetota; Actinomycetes; Kitasatosporales; Streptomycetaceae.